Molecule: ribosomal RNA, 253 nt
Filed under: uncultured bacterium
Lineage: Bacteria
Description: partial 16S ribosomal RNA
Rfam family: Bacterial small subunit ribosomal RNA
Source: RNAcentral
UACGGGGGGGGCAAGCGUUGUUCGGAAUUACUGGGCGUAAAGGGCUCGUAGGUGGCCAACUAAGUCGGACGUGAAAUCCCUCGGCUUAACCGGGGAACUGCAUCCGAUACUGGAUGGCUUGAGUUUGGGAGAGGGAUGCGGAAUUCCAGGUGUAGCGGUGAAAUGCGUAGAUAUCUGGAGGAACACCGGUGGCGAAGGCGGCAUCCUGGACCAACACUGACGCUGAUGAGCGAAAGCCAGGGGAGCAAACGGG